This 237-nucleotide ribosomal RNA is filed under the name uncultured Staphylococcus sp. Its description in RNAcentral is "partial 16S ribosomal RNA". It matches the Rfam family "Bacterial small subunit ribosomal RNA", at positions 124 to 354 of the family's 1533-position model. Lineage: Bacteria; Bacillati; Bacillota; Bacilli; Caryophanales; Staphylococcaceae. The record is from RNAcentral.
ACCUACCUAUAAGACUGGGAUAACUUCGGGAAACCGGAGCUAAUACCGGAUAAUAUAUUGAACCGCAUGGUUCAAUAGUGAAAGACGGUUUUGCUGUCACUUAUAGAUGGAUCCGCGCCGCAUUAGCUAGUUGGUAAGGUAACGGCUUACCAAGGCAACGAUGCGUAGCCGACCUGAGAGGGUGAUCGGCCACACUGGAACUGAGACACGGUCCAGACUCCUACGGGAGGCAGCAGA